GAGCGCCAACAUCUAAUAGACGAGGUACUAGAAAACGGACAGCCGUCAGAAAAUCGCCUGCAUUUUGACGAGGACCCCUAUAUUUCAAGAUUCUGUGACGUGUAUUCAGGCGUUGAAGUCAGGUCUGCGUCACUCUUGCGCACUUUGCAGAUGAUUCGUAGUCACCUACUGUAACCCUUUAAAGAGACAGCGCGCUCAGCCACACGCACACGCACACGCACACACACACACACACACACACACGCGACUGCAGCACAAUUCUUUUAUUUUUCGCGGGGGUGUUCAAGAAGGGAGUGGGCGUCCGUUUUCAUUCAUUGAUGACACAGUUAUUCAUUCUCUGCAAAUUAAUGAAUGUACAAUUGAAUUAGCAUAGCCAACGACACUAAUGACCAAUUUUUUUAAGUUGUAGCCUACACAAAAUAUAUUUUAAUUCUUAAAGGAACAGUGCAACCAAAAAUUAACAUCCCGUCAUUAUUUACUCACCCUGAAUUUUAUUUAUUUAUUUGUAACAUGUGGAACUCAAAAGCAGAUGCCUGAAGCAGAAUAACACCUUAACUGUGUCUAUGAGGGUGUCAGUUCAUUAUAUUCUGCCAAUAAUUGUUCUUUUUAUUUUAGUUCUUUAUAUUUCUUAACUAACCACCUUCAAUCUUGAGUAGGCUUUACACAUUCUACACAUUCAGUUCAAUGUGUUACUUGCCAUUUCUUUGUAAUUAUUUGUGAAAUUUAGUGAAAAUUAUUUAUACAUCACUUUUUAAUGUGUUAUUUCUUGAUAGCUUAAUAUAUUCAACAAAAAUGCUGUGAAUUAUAUAGGAUUACUAUAUUCAUUUAUGAAUUUAUUUUUAUUAAAAUAAAGCAGAGUGAAGCUGUAUUUUCAGCACCACGGACAGCGGCUAUUGGUCUCAAGUCUAAGUACUUCUUUCAGAACCAAAUGCAUUUUAUCAGUCUAACUCUGGGCUGCCAGUAAGAGUCACUAAGUAUCAGGUAAUAUAUAUAGAAUAAAACAUAACUGAAAAAAAAAAAAACUUUCAGGAAACGGAACGACUUUCAAAGGGGUUCUAGCUUGCAUCUACGUCACUGACCCGGCAGCGAGGCUCUUGGGAAUCCGUGUUCCUGAGAACAUUAUGCUUGGGCAAACCAAUGCCCUUUUUAAUGAAAUAACCCACGUUAUGCAUCAGAUUCAUGGCCAUGUUCCAUACUUAUAUUAAAUCAACAUCUUAUUCAUCUAGAUACGUUUGUUUUCUCUGUAACACUUCUCUUUAAUUGCAGCAGCAGUUCUGUCUCUCCCUGUGAGCUGAAUUCUUCUCGGUGUUGCCCAGCAUGAGUCUUUACCGAUUUGCCAGCACUUCAUGACCUUGGCUCUAGACUGCUUACUGCUUAUGGAGUCCAACAGUACAGUAACAGUCUACAGUCAUGGCUACUGAAGUCUGGCUCCAGCAUCACUAAUACAGAAGCCUAUCAUCUGUAUAACUUAGGUUGUGAUUGAAAAGGGAAGGCUGUUAAAAUGCGCAUGCACGCAUUCAUCAGAAAUACUCGGCUGUGAUGGCAAACAGUUGUGUAUAUCUGAGCCUGUAUUGGGGGAGUCCUGUGCUAUGGAGGCAUGGCGUUUCAUCGAAACAAGCCAAUAGGAUUGCACUAUUUCUAGUUACCAUGCCAACACCCCCUCAUUCCUACCUCUGCUGUCUCCAUGGUGACCGUGGCUUUAGAUUGUUACUGUAGCGUUGGCACGUGGUAACAGUCUACAGCCAUGGUCGCCAAGGGGCAGGUGUUAUUUCGUCAAUCACCAGAAAUGAUUGCGUGAAACCAGAAUGAAUGCAUGUCAAACUGUAACACGGCGAGGAUUUUCUGAGAAGCACUUACAGAAUGAUUCGAUUUUCGAAAGUAGGUCAAAGUCUGAAUUUAUUUAUUUAUUUAUCUUUCCCUUCUUCUGAAACUCUAUUAAAAGACUCUUUCCGCAGAUGUGAAAGUAAGCAUGUUUUUCUCAGACUGAAGGAUCAAAGCUACGCUGCGAUUCUCAUUUUGUGACCGAAAACUUUAUUCUUAACGCAACAUAUACUAAACACUUCAAUACAGAUUGUAAUUAAAUCAUGUACUGUACCAGAAUGUACAAUUAUUUCUCUCGGAUGUUUUCCUGAUGAUUCAGUUUGCUCCCUGAUGGCCAAGUGAUUCAUUCUAACGUGGCGUGCCAGUGACUGCUCCUUUUUUUUCCAGACAAUUUCCUGUGGAGCAGGAAGAGGCAGUUGCAAUUAGGAUAGAGUGACAGAAUGUGUUUCAUGCGUAACUGAUGAAAGCUGUACAUAUUCUUUUUACCGGUUGCGGUGACAUCUGGGACAGCAGGGCAGGUGUUUCAGUCAAUUCAGUGAGUAAUUAAUACAUAUUAGCAGGGAUGUGUUGUUUAAAUGUAUUUUGAUCUGCAGCAAUUUUCAGUGGCGUGCGAUAGAAUAUGGCUCAACGUAAAAAAGAAAAGAAAAGAAAUCAAGUUUAGCAGUCACACAUCGCCCUCUGGAGGAGAGAGUUUGUGGUUGCGGAAAACAAUCUGUAGGCAAGUGUUAUGUUGUACCAUUGCUGUUCCAGUAAAUAAAAUCUCAACAUCCAAA
Puntigrus tetrazona (Sumatra barb) is the source of this 2594-nucleotide long non-coding RNA. RefSeq lists it as uncharacterized. The record is from RefSeq and is a predicted model, not a curated record. Lineage: Eukaryota; Metazoa; Chordata; Actinopteri; Cypriniformes; Cyprinidae. The transcript has 2 exons.